CCUACGGGUGGCAGCAGUGAGGAAUAUUGGUCAAUGGGCGCGAGCCUGAACCAGCCAAGUCGCGUGAAGGAUGACGGUCCUGCGGGUUGUAAACUUCUUUUAUCAGGGAAUAAAGUGAGGCACUUGUGCCUUUUUGUGUGUACUUUAUGAAUAAGCAUCGGCUAACUCCGUGCCAGCAGCCGCGGUAAUACGGAGGAUCCGAGCGUUAUCCGGAUUUAUUGGGUUUAAAGGGUGCGGAGAUGGGGUGUUAAGUCAGGUGUGAAAGGUUGCGGCUCAACCGUAAAAUUGCCAUUGAUACUGGCAGGCUGGAGUAGGGUUGAGGUAGGCGGAAUUCGUGGUGUAGCGGUGAAAUGCUUAGAUAUCACGAAGAACUCCGAUUGCGAAGGCAGCGUACUAGACUGACACUGACACUGAUGCACGAAAGUGUGGGUAUCAAACAGGAUUAGAUACCCGGGUAGUC
RNAcentral lists this ribosomal RNA (460 nucleotides) under uncultured bacterium. RNAcentral describes it as "partial 16S ribosomal RNA". It matches the Rfam family "Bacterial small subunit ribosomal RNA", at positions 338 to 795 of the family's 1533-position model. The record is from RNAcentral.